This 246-nucleotide ribosomal RNA is filed under the name uncultured bacterium. RNAcentral's name for it is "partial 16S ribosomal RNA". It matches the Rfam family "Bacterial small subunit ribosomal RNA", at positions 531 to 776 of the family's 1533-position model. The record is from RNAcentral.
GUCUCAAGCGUUGUUCGGAUUCAUUGGGCGUAAAGGGUGCGUAGGCGGCGCGGUAAGUCGGGUGUGAAAUCUUGGAGCUUAACUCCGAAACUGCAUUCGAUACUGCCGUGCUUGAGGACUGGAGAGGAGACUGGAAUUUACGGUGUAGCGGUGAAAUGCGUAGAUAUCGUAAGGAAGACCAGUGGCGAAGGCGGGUCUCUGGACAGUUCCUGACGCUGAGGCACGAAGGCCAGGGGAGAAAACGGG